This 603-nucleotide ribosomal RNA is filed under the name Schwanniomyces vanrijiae. RNAcentral describes it as "partial 26S ribosomal RNA". It matches the Rfam family "Eukaryotic large subunit ribosomal RNA", at positions 37 to 656 of the family's 3401-position model. The record is from RNAcentral. Lineage: Eukaryota; Fungi; Ascomycota; Pichiomycetes; Serinales; Debaryomycetaceae.
UGCAUAUCAAUAAGCGGAGGAAAAGAAACCAACAGGGAUUGCCUCAGUAACGGCGAGUGAAGCGGCAAAAGCUCAAAUUUGAAAUCUGGCACCUUCGGUGUCCGAGUUGUAAUUUGAAGAAGGUAACUUUGGAGUUGGCUCUUGUCUAUGUUCCUUGGAACAGGACGUCACAGAGGGUGAGAAUCCCGUGCGAUGAGAUGCCCAAUUCUAUGUAAAGUGCUUUCGAAGAGUCGAGUUGUUUGGGAAUGCAGCUCUAAGUGGGUGGUAAAUUCCAUCUAAAGCUAAAUAUUGGCGAGAGACCGAUAGCGAACAAGUACAGUGAUGGAAAGAUGAAAAGAACUUUGAAAAGAGAGUGAAAAAGUACGUGAAAUUGUUGAAAGGGAAGGGCUUGAGAUCAGACUUGGUAUUUUGCAAGCUUUACCUUCGUGGUGGAGUCCCCUGCAGUUUACUGGGCCAGCAUCGGUUUGGAUGGUAGGAUAAUGACUUGGGAAUGUGGCUUUGCUUCGGUAAAGUGUUAUAGCCCUUGUUGAUGCUACCUGUCUAGACCGAGGACUGCGUCUUUGACUAGGAUGUUGGCAUAAUGAUCUUAAGUCGCCCGUCUUG